Molecule: ribosomal RNA, 220 nt
Filed under: uncultured bacterium
Lineage: Bacteria
Description: partial 16S ribosomal RNA
Rfam family: Bacterial small subunit ribosomal RNA
Source: RNAcentral
UACGUAGGGGGCAAGCGUUGUCCGGAAUCAUUGGGCGUAAAGCGCGUGUAGGCGCCAGAAAAGUCCGCUGUGAAAACUCGAGGCUCAACCUCGAGCUGUCGGUGGAAACUUUCUGGCUAGAGUCCGGAAGAGGAGAAUGGAAUUCCUGGUGUAGCGGUGAAAUGCGCAGAUAUCAGGAAGAACACCCGUGGCGAAGGCGGUUCUCUGGGCCGGAUGACUG